AUGGUUAAGCCUCCCACGUACGCUGAUCUUGGCAAAUCUGCCAGGGAUGUGUUCACCAAGGGCUGUGGAUUAGGCUUAAUAAAACUUGAUUUGAAAACAAAAUCUGAGAAGGGAUUAGAAUUUACAAACUAGGCUCAGCCAACACUGAGGCCACCAAAGUGACUGGCAGCCUGCGAACCAAGUACAGAUGGACCAGAUAUGGCCUGACAGUUAUGGAGAAAUGAAACACUGACCGCACACCAGGCACCGAGAUUGCGUGGAGGAUCAGCUUGCAUGUGGACUGAAGCUGACCUUUGAUUCAUCGCUUGUCACCUAAUGCUGGGGGGAAAAAAUGCUAAAAUCAAAACUGCUAUAGGCAGGAGCAUAUCAACCUGGGUUGCACCGUGGAUUGUUGAGGCUUCAAUCUGGGGUGCCCUGGUGCUGGGUUAUGAGGGCUGGCUGGAUGGCUACCGGAUGAAUUUUGAGACCACAGAGUUUUAAGAGAAGCAGAGGGACUUUACUCUUGGCUACAAGAUUGAUGAAUUCCAGCUUCACACUUAUGUGAAUGACGGGGCAGAGUUUGGCACCUUUGUUUCCCAGAGGUGAAUAAGAAGUUGGACACUGCUGUUAAGCUUGCCUGGAUAUCAGGAAACAGUAACACUCACUUCAUCAGGAAACAAUAACACUCACUACAGCAGGCAAGUAUCAGAUGGACCCUGAUGCCUGCUUCUUGGCUAAAGUGUACAACCCUAGCCUGAUAGGUUUAGGGUACACUCAGACCGUAAAGCCAAGUAUCAAGCUGAUGCUGUCAGCUCAGCUGGAUGGCAAGAACGUCGAUGCUGGUGGCCAUGAGCUUGGUCUAGGAUUAGAAUUUCAAGCA
This 859-nucleotide long non-coding RNA is filed under the name Homo sapiens (human). RNAcentral's name for it is "non-protein coding lnc-COX7A2L-2:1". The record is from RNAcentral. Lineage: Eukaryota; Metazoa; Chordata; Mammalia; Primates; Hominidae.